Molecule: long non-coding RNA, 749 nt
Organism: Gastrolobium bilobum
Lineage: Eukaryota; Viridiplantae; Streptophyta; Magnoliopsida; Fabales; Fabaceae
Exons: 3
Source: RefSeq, a predicted model, not a curated record
CUCACUUUCUUAUUUUCUCUGUUGUGCGCACCUUUGGGGGGAAGAUACCAAGUCUAAGCUUUGUUUUCCUUGCUGAACUUUUGUACAGAUUGUGAGCUAACUGUAUCACUCUUUCCUUCUCCUCAUGCGCUGUGAAAAGAAGCCUCAAGACUGACUGCUAACCUUCCUAUUCAGAAUCACCAUUUUUCCUUCCAUUUACCGCUCCACAAACCGUGAGCUUUCCUAAGAGAGAACUCAACAUCAAAACUUCCUUUCCCUUCCCUGUCUUACUCGACCGAGCUGCAACCAGAGGAGGCUUUGUGCGAAAUUUUCUUGAUUCGCUGUUACUCUCUUCGUUUAGAAGGGGACCUCCUUGCUGGCAGAUUGGGAAUCCAAAUUCUGCUCAUGACCUCACUGCCCCUCUUGGGUUCGGCUUAAGACCCUCACUCGUGGAGAUAAACUCGACCUCUUGGGACGUUGGAAGCAUAGGAUGGCGUUGUCAAAUUUGGGGUUGUGGGGUGUAUACGAUAAGGUGCGCAUAAUUAUUAAAGUGUGGGCUGGUUUUAGUGCCGUUGAUUAUUGCGUGGACACAAGGAGGAAGGAAGAGCAUAUGAGGACCUGAUUAUAUGAAGUUUUACUGUAAUUGUUGCUGUUUGAACUUGUUGCUGUCACUGUUUUUCCUAAUGGAUGACUGUACUAUUUUGAGAAGUUUGGAUUACUGUUGCCAGUAUAAGUUUACUGUUGUUUUGAGACUUUUAUGAUCAGUUAGU